Molecule: ribosomal RNA, 272 nt
Filed under: uncultured Bacteroidota bacterium
Lineage: Bacteria; Pseudomonadati; Bacteroidota
Description: uncultured Bacteroidetes bacterium partial 16S ribosomal RNA
Rfam family: Bacterial small subunit ribosomal RNA
Source: RNAcentral
UGUUGGAAGCUUGCUUCCGAUGACGACGACCGGCGGAUGGGUGCGUAACGCGUAUGCAACUUGCCUCACAGUGGAGGAUAACCCGGAGAAAUCCGGACUAAUACCCCAUACACUCUCAAGUACACCUGUGUUUGAGAGGAAAGAUUUAUCGCUGUGAGAUAGGCAUGCGUCCUAUUAGGUAGUUGGUGAGGUAACGGCUCACCAAGCCGACGAUAGGUAGGGGUGCUGAGAGGCAGAUCCCCACAUUGGGACUGAGACACGGCCCAAACUCC